This 253-nucleotide ribosomal RNA is filed under the name uncultured bacterium. RNAcentral describes it as "partial 16S ribosomal RNA". It matches the Rfam family "Bacterial small subunit ribosomal RNA", at positions 524 to 776 of the family's 1533-position model. The record is from RNAcentral.
UACGGGGGGGGCAAGCGUUGUUCGGAAUUACUGGGCGUAAAGGGCUCGUAGGUGGCCAACUAAGUCAGACGUGAAAUCCCUCAGCUUAACUGGGGAACUGCGUCUGAUACUGGAUGGCUUGAGUGUGGGAGAGGGAUGCGGAAUUCCAGGUGUAGCGGUGAAAUGCGUAGAUAUCCGGAAGAACACCUGAGGCGAAGGCGGCUUGCUGGGCAUGAUCUGACGCUGAGGCGCGAAAGCGUGGGGAGCAAACAGG